Small nucleolar RNA from Callithrix jacchus (white-tufted-ear marmoset), 207 nucleotides. Its record names the gene U3. It matches the Rfam family "Small nucleolar RNA U3". Rfam says of the family: Small nucleolar RNAs (snoRNAs) are involved in the processing and modification of rRNA in the nucleolus. There are two main classes of snoRNAs: the box C/D class, and the box H/ACA class. U3 snoRNA is a member of the box C/D class. NCBI's taxonomy places the organism in Eukaryota, Metazoa, Chordata, Mammalia, Primates, Cebidae. The record is from Ensembl.
AAGACUAUACUUUCAGGGAUUAUUUCUGUAGUUUAUUACUAGGGAAGUUUUUCUGAACGUGUAAGGCAAUGGAACUUGCGAGGAAGAGGUGUAAUGUUUUCUCCUGAGCGUGAAACUGGCUGUUGGUGUUGCUUCAGUGACACUGCUGACUCUUUUUGAUGAUCAUUCUUCUCUCUUUGGAGAGUAGGAUUCUUUCCUCUUUGGAAA